GCUAGGAUGAACGCUAGCUACAGGCCUAACACAUGCAAGUCGAGGGGUAGCAGGGUAGCAAUACCGCUGACGACCGGCGCACGGGUGAGUAACACGUAUCCAACCUUCCCAUAACUCAGGGAUAGCCUUUACGAAAGAAAGAUUAAUACCUGAUAGUACUUUUUCAAGGCAUCUUGAGAAAGUUAAAGAUUUAUUGGUUAUGGAUGGGGAUGCGUUCCAUUAGAUAGUUGGUGAGGUAACGGCUCACCAAGUCUUCGAUGGAUAGGGGUUCUGAGAGGAAGGUCCCCCACAUUGGUACUGAGACACGGACCAAACUCCUACGGGAGGCAGCAGUGAGGAAUAUUGGUCAAUGGGCGAGAGCCUGAACCAGCCAAGUAGCGUGAAGGAUGAAGGUCCUAUGGAUUGUAAACUUCUUUUAUAGUAGAAUAAAGUGAUCCACGUGUGGAUUUUUGUAUGUAUACUAUGAAUAAGGAUCGGCUAACUCCGUGCCAGCCGCUGC
Molecule: ribosomal RNA, 499 nt
Filed under: uncultured bacterium
Lineage: Bacteria
Description: bacterial SSU rRNA
Rfam family: Bacterial small subunit ribosomal RNA
Source: RNAcentral